Molecule: ribosomal RNA, 378 nt
Filed under: uncultured cyanobacterium
Lineage: Bacteria; Bacillati; Cyanobacteriota
Description: bacterial SSU rRNA
Rfam family: Bacterial small subunit ribosomal RNA
Source: RNAcentral
CGCCAGCCUGACGGAGCCAGACCGCGUGGGGGAGGAAGGCCCUUGGGUUGUAAACCCCUUUUCUCAGGGAAGAAACCUGACGGUACCUGAGGAAAAAGCCUCGGCUAACUCCGUGCCAGCAGCCGCGGUAAUACGGAGGAGGCAAGCGUUAUCCGGAAUUACUGGGCGUAAAGCGUCCGUAGGCGGCUGUUCAAGUCUGCUGUCAAAGACCGAGGCUCAACCUCGGGUCGGCAGUGGAAACUGGAUAGCUAGAGGUCGGUAGGGGCAAAGGGAAUUCCCAGUGUAGCGGUGAAAUGCGUAGAUAUUGGGAAGAACACCGGUGGCGAAAGCGUUCUACUGGGUCGCACCUGACCCUCAGGGACGAAAGCUAAGGGAGCG